RNAcentral lists this ribosomal RNA (513 nucleotides) under uncultured Pelospora sp. RNAcentral's name for it is "bacterial SSU rRNA". It matches the Rfam family "Bacterial small subunit ribosomal RNA", at positions 32 to 527 of the family's 1533-position model. The record is from RNAcentral. Lineage: Bacteria; Bacillati; Bacillota; Clostridia; Eubacteriales; Syntrophomonadaceae.
AACGCUGGCGGCGUGCCUAACACAUGCAAGUCGAACGGAGAUAUCAAUGAAGCUUGCGAUUUGAUAUUUUAGUGGCGGACGGGUGAGUAACGCGUGGGUAAUCUGCCCAUAAGUGGGGAACAACAGUUGGAAACGACUGCUAAUACCGCAUACGCUACCGCAAGGUAGGAAAGGUGGCCUCUGAAUAUGCUGCCGCUUAUGGAUGAGCCCGCGUCUGAUUAGCUAGUUGGUGGGGUAAAGGCCUACCAAGGCGACGAUCAGUAGCCGGCCUGAGAGGGUGAACGGCCACACUGGGACUGAGACACGGCCCAGACUCCUACGGGAGGCAGCAGUGGGGAAUAUUGCGCAAUGGGGGAAACCCUGACGCAGCGACGCCGCGUGAGCGAUGAAGGCCUUAGGGUUGUAAAGCUCUGUUUUAAGGGACGAAUGUUACGGGGAGUAAUAUGCCCUGUAAAUGACGGUACCUUAAGAGGAAGCCCCGGCUAACUACGUGCCAGCAGCCGCGGUAAGACG